GAUGAACGCUGGCGGCGUGCCUAAUACAUGCAAGUCGAGCGAACAGACGAGGAGCUUGCUCCUCUGACGUUAGCGGCGGACGGGUGAGUAACACGUGGAUAACCUACCUAUAAGACUGGGAUCACUUCGGGAAACCGGAGCUUAUACCGGAUAAUCUAUUGCACCGCAUGGUUCAAUAGUGAAAGACGGUUUUGCUGUCGGUGGUCGAUGGAUCCGCGCCGCAUUAGCUAGUUGGUACGGUAACGGCUUACCAAGGCAACGAUGGGUAGCCGACCUGAGAGGGUGAACGGGCACAGUGGGACUGAGAGAGGGACAAGACGGCAACGGGCGGAAGGAGGGGGGAAUAUGGCAGAAUGGGCGGAAGUGUGAGGUAGAGACGUCGGGUGCGUGAUGCCGGUUUUUGGGGGGUAAACAGAUUUCGAAUGAAACGAAGCGUGAGUGAGGGUACUGGGUAAAAAAGCACCGGCUAACUACGUG
Molecule: ribosomal RNA, 477 nt
Filed under: uncultured bacterium
Lineage: Bacteria
Description: partial 16S ribosomal RNA
Rfam family: Bacterial small subunit ribosomal RNA
Source: RNAcentral